AUACUUACCUGGCAGGGGAGAUGACAUGAUCACAAAGGUGGUUUUCCCAGGGUGAGGCUUAUCCAUUGCACUCUGGAUGUGCUGACCCUUGCGAUUUCCCCAAAUGCUGGAAUCUCGGCUGCAUAAUUUGUGGUAGUGGGGAACUGUGUUUGUGCUUUCCCCUG
RNAcentral lists this small nuclear RNA (164 nucleotides) under Echinops telfairi (small Madagascar hedgehog). RNAcentral describes it as "U1 spliceosomal RNA (ENSETEG00000020507.1)". It matches the Rfam family "U1 spliceosomal RNA". Rfam says of the family: U1 is a small nuclear RNA (snRNA) component of the spliceosome (involved in pre-mRNA splicing). Its 5' end forms complementary base pairs with the 5' splice junction, thus defining the 5' donor site of an intron. There are significant differences in sequence and secondary structure between metazoan and yeast U1 snRNAs, the latter being much longer (568 nucleotides as compared to 164 nucleotides in human). The record is from RNAcentral. Lineage: Eukaryota; Metazoa; Chordata; Mammalia; Afrosoricida; Tenrecidae.